Long non-coding RNA from Pezoporus flaviventris, 574 nucleotides. RefSeq lists it as uncharacterized. The transcript is spliced from 4 exons. The record is from RefSeq and is a predicted model, not a curated record. Lineage: Eukaryota; Metazoa; Chordata; Aves; Psittaciformes; Psittacidae.
GGGCUUUGUUGUGGAGGUUUUGUAUCGGCGGUUCUCAGUGAUGCUGUAAGUUCAGUGUUGAUGCUGCUGUUGGGAGCACGUUUAAGCACAAAAAAAUCCCUCAUUGAGCCAUAACUGGAUGAAUGGGGUCCUUGUGGCACCUGCUUCUGUUCUUCAUCUGCGGUGGGGUGACCUGGAAAGGGACUGUAUGGGAGAUAGGAUCCAAAGGACCCCAAAAGGUUAUCCAGGCCCCAAGGCAGGAUCAGCUAGACUGAAAACUGGAAUUCUUGGUCCAAAGGAUCAGCCACUUGAAGAAAUCCCUUUGCCAUUUUCAGACUGGAGACCUUCUGUUCUCCUCCAGCAAAGUACCAGUUCUGCACGCAACAGAUUUCUCCACUCAGCAUCUUUGGGACACCCGUCGAUCAAUGACAGGGAAUUUGAGUCCCCAUUUCCCAACAGCUCUUGAGGACUCUCCACCACUGAGUUCACCCUCUCUGUGGGAAGAGGUGGGACUGCAAGAGCUCAGUGAUGGCUUUUCAAACCUGAAGCAGAAGCAAAGCUGCUGAAAGGUAAGUAAUAAAAGGCCUAUAAAAUU